Molecule: ribosomal RNA, 213 nt
Filed under: uncultured marine bacterium pM-57
Lineage: Bacteria; Pseudomonadati; Pseudomonadota; Alphaproteobacteria
Description: partial 16S ribosomal RNA
Rfam family: Bacterial small subunit ribosomal RNA
Source: RNAcentral
AGGGAAAUUCGAGAUAUUUGGAGGAACACCAGUGGCGAAGCUGCUCACUGGCUCGAUACUGACGCUGAGGUACGAAAGUGUGGGGAGCAAACAGGAUUAGAUACCCUGGUAGUCCACACCGUAAACGAUGAAUUGCCAGACGUUCAGCAAGCAUGCUUGUUGGUGUCACACCUAACGGAUUAAGCAUUCCGCCUUGGGAGUACGUCUGCAAGA